Molecule: non-coding RNA, 110 nt
Organism: Bos taurus (domestic cattle)
Lineage: Eukaryota; Metazoa; Chordata; Mammalia; Artiodactyla; Bovidae
Source: Rfam
CGUGGGUCCAAGCCUGUAGCCCCAAAUCGGAUAAUCUCUGCAGCUGAUAACAAGCAAAAGAGAAGCCAGGCAACAGCCAUAUUCAGCCCCAGAGAUCUAACCUUCUCGGG